Molecule: ribosomal RNA, 473 nt
Filed under: uncultured bacterium
Lineage: Bacteria
Description: partial 16S ribosomal RNA
Rfam family: Bacterial small subunit ribosomal RNA
Source: RNAcentral
GGUGAACGCUGGCGGCGUGCCUAAGACAUGCAAGUCGAGCGGGCCGCGGGGUUUUACUCCGUGGUCAGCGGCGGACGGGUGAGUAACGCGUGGGUGACCUACCCGGGAGAGGGGGACAACACGGGGAAACUCGGGCUAAUCCCCCAUGUGGACCCGCCCCUUGGGGUGUGUCCAAAGGGCUUUGCCCGCUUCCGGAUGGGCCCGCGUCCCGUCAGCUAGUUGGUGGGGUAAUGGCCCACCAAGGCGACGACGGGUAGCCGGCCUGAGAGGGUGGCCGGCCACAGGGGCACUGAGAAACGGGCCCGACUCCCGCGGGGGGCACCAGCGAGGAGUCGUAGGCAAUGAGCGCAAGCCUGGGGGAGCGACGCCGCUUGGAGGAAGAGGGCGUGCGGGGUGUAAACUCCUGAACCCGGGACGAAUCCGCCGGCGAGGGGACGGACGGUACCGGGGUAAUAGCGCCGGCCAACUCCGUG